UCUAAAAUCUUUGAGGUCACUCGACUCAGACUGAUCAAUCUCCUGUCAUUUUCUACAUGCUUCCCAUGCAUCAAUGUAUUUCUUAGGUCAUAACCGCGCUUUAUUCCUUAAGGUUAGGAUUUUUGGGCCGAAUUUGAACGUCUAGUGGCAGCCAUGAUCAACAACUGCAACACCAUGGCAACUAUCCUUGUCUUAACUUGCCCUCUCUUAGGAAGUGGCCUAUGCUCUUUCAUCUUCUUGUCAAGUAACAUAGGCAUAGCUGCUGCAUCAUUUAUUCUUAGGGACAUCUUGCUUGAACCUUUGAUGAUUGUUAGUGUUUUGACAAUGCAAUUGCAUGAAUUAUAACUAUAUAUAAAGCACUAGCAUUGCUUGUUCAUUCAAGAAACAGCGCCCCCUUUCUUUGUAGCUACAAUAAUAAGGUUGUUUUGAUGAACAAAAGGACAAGG
RNAcentral lists this long non-coding RNA (446 nucleotides) under Capsicum annuum. RNAcentral's name for it is "long non-coding RNA (CANN_LNC000035)". Lineage: Eukaryota; Viridiplantae; Streptophyta; Magnoliopsida; Solanales; Solanaceae. The record is from RNAcentral.